GGUUUCUUGUAAUUUUUAAGAAAUUUGACCUGCCCACUGAAAUAAUUUGAAGGGCCGCAGUAUUUUGACUGUGCAAAGGUAGCAUAAUCAUUAGUCUUUUAAUUAAAGGCUGGAAUGAAUGGUUGGACGAGAAAAAAUCUGUUUUAUAAAAAUAAAAUUGAAUUUAGAUUUUAAGUAAAAAGACUUAAAUAUUAUUAAGGGACGAGAAGACCCUAUAGAGUUUUAUAAAUGUAAUUGUUAAUUAGGUUAAUAAAAAAGUUUUAGUUAUUAUGGAGUUUAUUUAAUUGGGGUGAUUGGAAAAUAAAAUAAACUUUUCUUUAAAUUUAAUAUUAUGAGUAAUAAUAAGAUCCAUAUUUAGUGAUUAUAAGAUUAAAUUACCUUAGGGAUAACAGCAUAAUUUUUUUUAAGAGUUCCUAUCGAAAAAAGAGAUUGUGACCUCGAUGUUGGAUUAAGAUUAGUAUUAGGUGUAGAUGUUUAAUAACUAGGUCUGUUCGACCUUAGAAAUCUUACA
This 511-nucleotide ribosomal RNA is filed under the name Leptocola stanleyana. Its description in RNAcentral is "partial 16S ribosomal RNA". It matches the Rfam family "Bacterial large subunit ribosomal RNA", at positions 1832 to 2600 of the family's 2925-position model. Lineage: Eukaryota; Metazoa; Arthropoda; Insecta; Mantodea; Mantidae. The record is from RNAcentral.